GACGUAGGGUGCAAGCGUUGUCCGGAAUUAUUGGGCGUAAAGAGCUCGUAGGCGGUCUGUCGCGUCUGCUGUGAAAACUCGGGCUUAACCCCGGGCCUGCAGUGGGUACGGGCAGACUAGAGUGUGGUAGGGGAGACUGGAAUUCCUGGUGUAGCGGUGAAAUGCGCAGAUAUCAGGAGGAACACCGAUGGCGAAGGCAGGUCUCUGGGCCACUACUGACGCUGAGAAGCGAAAGCAUGGGGAGCGAACAGG
RNAcentral lists this ribosomal RNA (252 nucleotides) under uncultured bacterium. RNAcentral describes it as "partial 16S ribosomal RNA". It matches the Rfam family "Bacterial small subunit ribosomal RNA", at positions 524 to 776 of the family's 1533-position model. The record is from RNAcentral.